AGGGGUAUAGCUCAGUUGGUAGAGCACUGGUCUCCAAAACCAGGUGUCGUGAGUUCGAAUCUUACUGCCCCUG
This 73-nucleotide transfer RNA is filed under the name Blattella germanica (German cockroach). RNAcentral's name for it is "tRNA-Trp (CCA) (tRNA-Trp-CCA-25-1)". It matches the Rfam family "tRNA". Rfam says of the family: Transfer RNA (tRNA) molecules are approximately 80 nucleotides in length. The record is from RNAcentral. Lineage: Eukaryota; Metazoa; Arthropoda; Insecta; Blattodea; Blattellidae.